GCGGGCUUGGCCGAUCGGUUAGGCGCCAGCUUCCCAAGCUGGUAAUAGGCGAGUUCGAUUCUCGCAGCCCGCUCCA
The sequence is a transfer RNA, 76 nucleotides long. It matches the Rfam family "tRNA". From Rfam's summary of the family: Transfer RNA (tRNA) molecules are approximately 80 nucleotides in length. Their secondary structure includes four short double-helical elements and three loops (D, anti-codon, and T loops). Further hydrogen bonds mediate the characteristic L-shaped molecular structure. tRNAs have two regions of fundamental functional importance: the anti-codon, which is responsible for specific mRNA codon recognition, and the 3' end, to which the tRNAs corresponding amino acid is attached (by aminoacyl-tRNA synthetases). tRNAs cope with the degeneracy of the genetic code in two manners: having more than one tRNA (with a specific anti-codon) for a particular amino acid; and 'wobble' base-pairing, i.e. permitting non-standard base-pairing at the 3rd anti-codon position.